Molecule: small RNA, 200 nt
Filed under: Arabidopsis thaliana (thale cress)
Lineage: Eukaryota; Viridiplantae; Streptophyta; Magnoliopsida; Brassicales; Brassicaceae
Description: ATSL148310
Source: RNAcentral
AUAUGAUUAUAGUAUUUAUUGUAACACGUAAGUACGUAAGAGCAUCCCCAAUAGUUAAGAUGUUAAAACAUCUUAAUCUUGCAUCUUAGUUUUUUUUUAAAAUUAAAAUUUUGCUUUUUCAAAGUUAAGAUAAGUUAGAGAAUAUCUUAACUUAUUUAUGCUCCAAUGGUUAAGAAGCAAAAAGUUAUUUUGGGAAAAAA